RNAcentral lists this ribosomal RNA (735 nucleotides) under uncultured Fusobacterium sp. Its description in RNAcentral is "bacterial SSU rRNA". It matches the Rfam family "Bacterial small subunit ribosomal RNA", at positions 28 to 776 of the family's 1533-position model. The record is from RNAcentral. Lineage: Bacteria; Fusobacteriati; Fusobacteriota; Fusobacteriia; Fusobacteriales; Fusobacteriaceae.
GAUGAACGCUGACAGAAUGCUUGACACAUGCAAGUCAACUUGAAUUUGGGUUUUUUAUUUUGGUUUGGGUGGCGGACGGGUGAGUAACGCGUAAAGAACUUGCCUCACAGCUAGGGACAACAUUUGGAAACGAAUGCUAAUACCUAAUAUUAUGAUAAUAGGGCAUCCUAUAAUUAUGAAAGCUAUAAGCGCUGUGAGAGAGCUUUGCGUCCCUUUAGCUAGUUGGAGAGGUAACGGCUCACCAAGGCGAUGAUGGGUAGCCGGCCUGAGAGGGUGAUCGGCCACAAGGGGACUGAGACACGGCCCUUACUCCUACGGGAGGCAGCAGUGGGGAAUAUUGGACAAUGGACCGAGAGUCUGAUCCAGCAAUUCUGUGUGCACGAUGAAGUUUUUCGGAAUGUAAAGUGCUUUCAGUUGGGAAGAAAAAAAUGACGGUACCAACAGAAGAAGUGACGGCUAAAUACGUGCCAGCAGCCGCGGUAAUACGUAUGUCACGAGCGUUAUCCGGAUUUAUUGGGCGUAAAGCGCGUCUAGGUGGUUAUAUAAGUCUGAUGUGAAAAUGCAGGGCUCAACUCUGUAUUGCGUUGGAAACUGUAUAACUAGAGUACUGGAGAGGUAAGCGGAACUACAAGUGUAGAGGUGAAAUUCGUAGAUAUUUGUAGGAAUGCCGAUGGGGAAGCCAGCUUACUGGACAGAUACUGACGCUGAAGCGCGAAAGCGUGGGUAGCAAACAGG